UUGAGGAGGAACCAUAUGACGAAGUCAUAAUUAAAACUGGUUCCGACGACCUGCCGCCGAGCGUCAGCGAGGGGGCAAUACACUAU
Molecule: small RNA, 86 nt
Organism: Clostridium sp. CAG:167
Lineage: Bacteria; Bacillati; Bacillota; Clostridia; Eubacteriales; Clostridiaceae
Rfam family: GA-cis RNA
Source: Rfam